This 512-nucleotide ribosomal RNA is filed under the name uncultured bacterium. RNAcentral describes it as "bacterial SSU rRNA". It matches the Rfam family "Bacterial small subunit ribosomal RNA", at positions 1 to 518 of the family's 1533-position model. The record is from RNAcentral.
AGGGUUCGAGUUCUGGCUCAGGACGAACGCUGGCGGCGUGCUUAACACAUGCAAGUCGAACGGACUAAUAUGGAAAAUCUUCGGAUCGGAAGUUUAGUUAGUGGCGAACGGGUGAGUAACGCGUGAGGAACCUGCCUUUCAGAGGGGGACAACAAAUUGGAAACGACUGCUAAUACCGCAUAACAUGUUAUCUUCGCAUGAAGGGAACAUCAAAGAUUUUAUCGCUGAAAAGAUGGCCUCGCGUCUGAUUAGAUAGUUGGUGUGGUAACGGCGCACCAAGUCGACGAUCAGUAGCCGGACUGAGAGGUUGAACGGCCACAUUGGGACUGAGAUACGGCCCAGACUCCUACGGGAGGCAGCAGUGGGGAAUAUUGGGCAAUGGGCGCAAGCCUGACCCAGCAAACGCCGCGUGAGGGAAGAAGGCUUUCGGGUUGUAAACUUCUUUUACCAGGGACGAAGGAUGUGACGGUACCUGGAGAAAAAGCCACGGCUAACUACGUGCCAGCCGCCGC